UGCAAGUAGUGAGAUAGUUACAGGAGAGGUGGUAAUUUUUAAAAGCUAAAUGUCAAGGUUGUGAGGCCUACCUUAAAGUACAGGAUGUCAGAAGGUCAUCUCCAAGACCACUGGACACUAGUUUCUGAGGACCAUCUACAAUGGAGGAAGUGCAUCACGGAUUAAGAAGCUGAAGAUUCAGUUCUUCUGUUACUUCCCUUGUUACAGGGAAAGCUUUCAAAACACAGACACUUCUGUUCCUUUGGGCACAGGCAAAAGGCAAUUAAAUCGGCCAAGCUAAAUUGAAAACAGGUGAUGGUGAAGGGCACGGCGGGCUUGAAUCAAGGCUGGUGGCUGUGUGGAUGUACACAGAGGUGAUAUCACCAAAGGCUGACUGUCCUCGCCCUGGCUGCUGUCACUGCCCCACAGCCGGAGCUCUACAAUGACUGUGGCAGAGAACUCUCACUGGACUAGGAGUCCAGGGCACACUGGCCUCACCAGGGCUCCAGCUGCGGAUCCCAUCAUCCCCCGCAGGACGUCAGGUGAUGAGGGUGACAGAGCUGGGGCUGAGGUGUCCGCAGAGAACUUGGAUACUCAAGAGGCAGGCGUGAGUGGCUGGUGAGGUUCACCAGGGGAGGUUUGGAGGCCUACAACAACGGGAAUGUUUCGGCAGCCUCAGGGUAGCUGUCACCAGGCCCUGCCCUUGGCUGGUGCCCCUUCUGGAGGAUGCAUGAGUCUGAGAAGUCUGAAGUUCUUAUCUCCUCACUGUCCUCGUCAUGAACACACUGAGGCCGCUGUCCAUCCUCAGAAGGUGGUGUGCUGACAAAGUAUUCGGUGCCCAGGCGGAGCACAGGGUCUGGACGUUCAGCCCUGGUUAUGGCUUGGCCAUGGUGGGCAUGUCUGACGUGGGGACAGCCAGUCCACCAAGCCCAGCACCUCCACACCCGCACGCCAAGCGCUUGAGCGGCUCGUCCAGCUGCUAAUGGUUGCACAACAGCAUAGCCACUGCGCAUGCGGGUUGACGUCAGGCUCUUCACACGCGGCAGCACCUGCAAGUCCCCAUGCACGUCCUAGUGCUGAGAGCAUCCCGCACCCCGGCGUACCGCGACAUCUGCAGGAAGCUCCAAGGCCAGUGCGGAAUGCAGGUGUGAGAGCGGCCUGGGCUGGGAGACUCUGCAGAGACAAACAUUCAUAACCUCUGCUAAGCUAAGUCGCUUCAGUCGUGUCCGACUCUGUGCAACCUCAGAGACGACAGCCCACCAGGCUCCGCCAUCCCUGGGAUUCUCCAGAUUUCCCAAAGGUAUAUAUUAAAAUACAGAAAUGAGAAGUUUACAGCCACAAACACAUGCAGAACUCAAGAUA
Molecule: long non-coding RNA, 1341 nt
Organism: Bos taurus (domestic cattle)
Lineage: Eukaryota; Metazoa; Chordata; Mammalia; Artiodactyla; Bovidae
Source: Ensembl